This 99-nucleotide small nuclear RNA is filed under the name Zalophus californianus (California sea lion). The record is from RNAcentral. Lineage: Eukaryota; Metazoa; Chordata; Mammalia; Carnivora; Otariidae.
GCUUCUGCAGCACAUACUAAUAUUGAAAUGAUACAGAGAAGAUUAGCAUGGCCCCUACACAAGGAUGACGCAUGAUUUUGUGAUAUAUUCCAUAUUUUU